ACUACGGGAGGCAGCAGGGGGGAAUAUUGCACAAUGGGCGAAAGCCUGAUGCAGCAACGCAGCGUGAGGGAUGAAGGCCUUCGGGUUGUAAAGCUCUGUCCUCAAGGAAGAUAAUGAAGGUACUUGAGGAGGAAGCCCCGGCUAACUACGUGCCAGCAGCCGCGGUAAUAGGAAGGGGGCUAGCGUUAUCCGGAAUUACUGGGCGUAAAGGGUGCGGAGGUGGUUUCUUAAGUCAGAGGUGAAAGGCUACGGCCCAACCGUAGUAAGCCUUUGAAACUGGUGAACUUGAGUGCAGGAGAGGAGAGUGGAAUUCCUAGUGUAGCGGGGAAAUGCGUAGAUAUUAGGAGGAACACCAGUUGCGAAGGCGGCUCUCUGGACUGUAACUGACACUGAGGCACGAAAGCGUGGGGAGCAAACAGGAUUAGAUACCCUAGUAGUC
Molecule: ribosomal RNA, 439 nt
Filed under: uncultured bacterium
Lineage: Bacteria
Description: partial 16S ribosomal RNA
Rfam family: Bacterial small subunit ribosomal RNA
Source: RNAcentral